CUACGGGGGGCUGCAGUGAGGAAUUUUGCGCAAUGGGGGGAACCCUGACGCAGCAACGCCGCGUGAGUGAAGAAGGCCUUUGGGUCGUAAAGCUCUGUCAACAGGGAAGAAGUUACUUCAUAUUAAUAGUGUGUAGUAUUGACGGUACCUGUGGAGGAAGCAUCGGGUAACUCCGUGCCAGCAGCCGCGGUAAUACGGGGGAUGCAAGCGUUAUUCGGAAUCAUUGGGCGUAAAGGGCACGCAGGCGGCUCUGUCAGUCAGAUGUGAAAGCCCGGGGCUCAACCCCGGACGUGCAUUUGAAACAGCAGAGCUUGAGUACGGUAGAGGAAAGCGGAAUUCCUGGUGUAGAGGUGAAAUUCGUAGAUAUCAGGAGGAACACCGGUGGCGAAGGCGGCUUUCUGGACCGAAACUGACGCUGAGGUGCGAAGGCGUGGGUAGCGAACAGGAUUAGAUACCCGCGUAGUC
Molecule: ribosomal RNA, 465 nt
Filed under: uncultured bacterium
Lineage: Bacteria
Description: partial 16S ribosomal RNA
Rfam family: Bacterial small subunit ribosomal RNA
Source: RNAcentral